RNAcentral lists this ribosomal RNA (450 nucleotides) under uncultured bacterium. RNAcentral describes it as "partial 16S ribosomal RNA". It matches the Rfam family "Bacterial small subunit ribosomal RNA", at positions 354 to 796 of the family's 1533-position model. The record is from RNAcentral.
GUCGAGAAUAAUUCACAAUGGACGAAAGUCUGAUGGUGCAACGCCGCGUGGAGGAUGACGGUCUUCGGAUUGUAAACUCCUGUCAUCCGGGAGUAAGACCUGGCUGUGAAUAGCAGACAGGGUUGAUAGUACCGGAAGAGGAAGGGACGGCUAACUUCGUGCCAGCAGCCGCGGUAAUACGAAGGUCCCGAGCGUUGUUCGGAAUCACUGGGCGGAAAGGGAGCGUAGGCGGCGUGGUAAGUCAGAUGUGAAAUCCCGGGGCUCAACCCCGGAACUGCAUCCGAUACUGCCGUGCUAGAGGAUUGGAGAGGUAGCUGGAAUUCUUGGUGUAGCAGUGAAAUGCGUGGAGAUCAAGAGGAACACUCGUGGCGAAAGCGAGCUACUGGACAAUAUCUGACGCUGAGGCUCGAAGGCCAGGGUAGCGAAAGGGAUUAGAAACCCGGGUAGUCC